GGAUUUCUGUCGUGGUCAUCCGGCACCGCCUGUAUAGGUGUGCGCCUGGUUUGCCCUCGGCUUUCUUCUGGUAGCCCUCCGCGCUUCACUGCGUGUGUGGGUGUUCCGGAACUUUUACUUUGAGAAAAAUAGAGUGUUUCAAGCAGGCUUGCCGCCCUGAAUACUUCAGCAUGGAAUAAUAAGAUAGGACCUUGGUUCUAUUUUGUUGGUUUCUAGGACCAAGGUAAUGGUUAAUAGGGACAGUUGGAGGCAUUCGUAUUUAACUGUCAGAGGUGAAAUUCUUAGAUUUGUUAAAGACGAACUACUGCGAAAGCAUUUGCCAAGGAUGUUUUCAUUAAUCAAGAACGACAGUAGGGGGUUUGAAGACGAUUAGAUACCGUCGCAAUCUCUACCAUAAACUAUGCCGACUAGAGAUAGGGAAUGCAUUAUUCCAAUCUUCCCUGCACCUCAUGAGAAAUCAAAGUCUCUGGGUUCUGGGGGGAGUAUGGUCGCAAGGCUGAAACUUAAAG
This 509-nucleotide ribosomal RNA is filed under the name Eimeria debliecki. Its description in RNAcentral is "SSU rRNA". It matches the Rfam family "Eukaryotic small subunit ribosomal RNA", at positions 636 to 1149 of the family's 1831-position model. The record is from RNAcentral. Lineage: Eukaryota; Apicomplexa; Conoidasida; Eucoccidiorida; Eimeriidae.